CUUGGUCAUUUAGAGGAAGUAAAAGUCGUAACAAGGUUUCCGUAGGUGAACCUGCGGAAGGAUCAUUAAUGAAAUGAAUGUCGAGAAGGGUUGUAGCUGGCCUUUUGGGGCAUGUGCACACCUUGAUCGCACAUCCACCUCUCACACCUGUGCACUAUGUGUAGCUUGGGAUGAUUACAGUGUUGGAAACGACGUUGAAAGCCCUAGCUAUGAAUUUUUAUACACCCACAUACAAAGUUAUAGAAUGGAUAAUGUUAUAGCGUGUAAUAGCGCGAAUAUAUACAACUUUCAGCAACGGAUCUCUUGGCUCUCGCAUCGAUGAAGAACGCAGCGAAAUGCGAUAAGUAAUGUGAAUUGCAGAAUUCAGUGAAUCAUCGAAUCUUUGAACGCACCUUGCGCUCCUUGGUAUUCCGAGGAGCAUGCCUGUUUGAGUGUCAUGAAAUUCUCAACUGCCUUUUAGCAUUUAUGUUAAGGGUGAAGUUGGAGUUGGAGGAAUAAUUGCUGGCGCAACUGAGGUUGCUUGUUGGCUCCUCUUGAAUGAAUGAGUUUUUCUGAUGGAUCAUAGCUCAGUAACACGAAUGUGAUAAUUAUCUACGUUAGAUGUGAAGAGGCUCCUACAGAAAAGGUGUAUCUUGGGGAUAACAAACCCUUGACUUUGACAAAUCUGACCUCAAAUCAGGUAGGACUACCCGCUGAACUUAAGCAUAUCAAUAAGCGGAGGA
This 722-nucleotide ribosomal RNA is filed under the name uncultured Pseudotomentella. RNAcentral describes it as "eukaryotic LSU rRNA". The stretch from base 284 to 437 matches the Rfam family "5.8S ribosomal RNA". Lineage: Eukaryota; Fungi; Basidiomycota; Agaricomycetes; Thelephorales; Thelephoraceae. The record is from RNAcentral.